GUAAGUUUAGUUUAACCAAAACAUUAGAUCGUGACUCUAACGAUAGGAGUUAAAACCCCCUAUCUUACC
This 69-nucleotide transfer RNA is filed under the name Rasbora argyrotaenia (silver rasbora). RNAcentral's name for it is "tRNA-His". It matches the Rfam family "tRNA". From Rfam's summary of the family: Transfer RNA (tRNA) molecules are approximately 80 nucleotides in length. Their secondary structure includes four short double-helical elements and three loops (D, anti-codon, and T loops). Further hydrogen bonds mediate the characteristic L-shaped molecular structure. tRNAs have two regions of fundamental functional importance: the anti-codon, which is responsible for specific mRNA codon recognition, and the 3' end, to which the tRNAs corresponding amino acid is attached (by aminoacyl-tRNA synthetases). tRNAs cope with the degeneracy of the genetic code in two manners: having more than one tRNA (with a specific anti-codon) for a particular amino acid; and 'wobble' base-pairing, i.e. permitting non-standard base-pairing at the 3rd anti-codon position. The record is from RNAcentral. Lineage: Eukaryota; Metazoa; Chordata; Actinopteri; Cypriniformes; Danionidae.